This 253-nucleotide ribosomal RNA is filed under the name uncultured bacterium. RNAcentral's name for it is "partial 16S ribosomal RNA". It matches the Rfam family "Bacterial small subunit ribosomal RNA", at positions 524 to 776 of the family's 1533-position model. The record is from RNAcentral.
UACAGAGGGGGCAAGCGUUGUUCGGAAUUACUGGGCGUAAAGCGCGCGCAGGCGGCACACUAAGUACGAUGUGAAAUCUCCCUGCUCAACGGGGAGGGUGCAUAGUAAACUGGUGAGCUAGAGGACGGUAGAGGGGGGUGGAAUUGCUGGUGUAGCGGUGAAAUGCGUAGAGAUCAGCAGGAACACCCGUGGCGAAGGCGGCUAUCUGGACGGUUUCUGACGCUAAGACGCGAAAGCGUGGGGAGCAAACAGG